This 653-nucleotide ribosomal RNA is filed under the name uncultured bacterium. RNAcentral describes it as "bacterial SSU rRNA". It matches the Rfam family "Bacterial small subunit ribosomal RNA", at positions 9 to 649 of the family's 1533-position model. The record is from RNAcentral.
GAGUUUGAUCCUGGCUCAGAACGAACGCUGGCGGCGUGCUUAACACAUGCAAGUCAGGGAGAAAGUCUCUUCGGGGAUGAUUAAACCGGCGCACGGGUGAGUAACACGUGAGUGACCUGCCUUUUAGACUGGAACAACUUACCGAAAGGUGAGCUAAUGCCGGAUGAGUUAUAUAAGUGCAUGUUUAUAUAGGAAAAGUUGGGGAGACCUGACGCUGAAAGAUGGACUCGCGUCCCAUUAGCUAGUUGGUAGGGUAAUGGCCUACCAAGGCGACGAUGGGUAGCCGGCCUGAGAGGGUGGCCGGCCACACUGGGACUGAGACACGGCCCAGACUCCUACGGGAGGCAGCAGUGGGGAAUUUUGCGCAAUGCUCGUAAGAGUGACGCAGCGACGCCGCGUGAAUGACGAAGGCCUUCGGGUCGUAAAGUUCUUUCGACAGGGAAGAAAAUGCCUAUAAGUAACUGUGUAUGUAUUGACGGUACCUGUAUAAGCAGCCCCGGCUAACUCCGUGCCAGCAGCCGCGGUAAUACGGAGGGGGCGAGCGUUGUUCGGAGUGACUGGGCGUAAAGAGCACGUAGGCGGUGUUGUAAGUCAUUAGUCAAAGACUAGAGCUCAACUUUAGUAAGGCUAGUGAUACUAUAAUACUAGAGUAU